This is a long non-coding RNA of Mastomys coucha (southern multimammate mouse), 623 nucleotides long. RefSeq lists it as uncharacterized. NCBI's taxonomy places the organism in Eukaryota, Metazoa, Chordata, Mammalia, Rodentia, Muridae. The record is from RefSeq and is a predicted model, not a curated record. The transcript has 3 exons.
AUAUAGAGAUCACCUACUCCUCCCUAGAAUUCUCCUAAUGUGCUUUAAACUGAGCUUUCGAUCUCACUUCAAAGUCUUUCCAUCUUUGUAGAUUCUGGAUUUCUACAGCAUAAAACACUCUUUGAGUUUGCAUACUAUUUGAUCCAGGGUAUCAUGGACUCUUACAACAGUUCAGAGGUUUAGACCACUAUUGUCUUGCUGGUAAGUGUGGUGGCAUGCAGGUAGACAUGAUGCUGGAGAGGGAGCUGAGAAUUUUACAUCUCAAUCUACAGGCAGCAGAGAAAAGAACAUUCUCCCGGAUCCCUCUCAUUUUCUUACUUAACCCAACUUCAUGUUCUCUCUCUCUCUCUGUCUCUCUGUCUCUCUGUCUCUGUCUCACAAAGAAAAAUCCAGAGAAAACAAAACAAAGAACUGCAGGAGGAGAAACAAGAGUGGGCAGCCAGUCUGCAUCUUCUUUUAUCUCAGAAUUUGAGGAAAGACAUUGUUCAACAACUUAAACAGUGCCAUCUGUACAGCAAUGCCCACCAGCCUGGGACCCAAAGCUAAGCUGGACCACUGGAUUCCUUUCUGUCAUGGACACAGGCAAAAUGGGUGUGUUUGAAAUAAACACCAAUGGAAAACGA